This 212-nucleotide ribosomal RNA is filed under the name uncultured bacterium. Its description in RNAcentral is "partial 16S ribosomal RNA". It matches the Rfam family "Bacterial small subunit ribosomal RNA", at positions 1289 to 1500 of the family's 1533-position model. The record is from RNAcentral.
CAGUUCAGAUUGCAGGCUGCAACUCGCCUGCAUGAAGUCGGAAUUGCUAGUAAUCGUAGGUCAGCAUACUACGGUGAAUACGUUCCCGGGCCUUGUACACACCGCCCGUCAAACCAUGAGAGUUGGCAACACCCGAAGUCGGUAGUCUAACCGCAAGGAGGACGCCGCCGAAGGUGGGGUCGAUGAUUAGGGUUAAGUCGUAACAAGGUAUC